Molecule: long non-coding RNA, 347 nt
Organism: Pantherophis guttatus
Lineage: Eukaryota; Metazoa; Chordata; Lepidosauria; Squamata; Colubridae
Source: RefSeq, a predicted model, not a curated record
GUGAUGGGCUUAUUCUGAUACGGCAAGCGGGAGCCAGUCAUUCGAGAUUUAUAUGGAGGCUAAAAGAUGUUUCUGCUUUGAAUAAAUGUGCUUCUGAUAUUUUGAAGGACCUCUUAGGAAUCGUUUAGAAGUAUGCAUAGCCUUAUUUAAUAUUGCUGUGGAUAAACAAACUGAUAUACAGAAGAAGAACUUGACUGACAUUUUAAAAUAUUUGUUUUGAGGUCAGGAAGAGUUGACCAAAUCCAUUGAGAUUAAAACAACCUUUUUAUGCAAUGUACAUUUUAUAUGUACUUUAGUUCUAAGAAUGAAUAGAAUAACAUGGGACAAAUAAAUCAUAAAUAAGGUCA